UACGAAGGGUGCAAGCGUUAUCCGGAUUCAUUGGGUUUAAAGGGUGCGUAGGCGGAACGUUAAGUCAGUGGUGAAAUCCUGCAGCUCAACUGUAGACUUGCCAUUGAUACUGGCGUUCUUGAGUGCGCUUGAAGUAGGCGGAAUGUGCAGUGUAGCGGUGAAAUGCUUAGAUAUUGCACAGAACACCGAUUGCGAAGGCAGCUUACUAAGGCGAUACUGACGCUGAGGCACGAAAGCGUGGGGAUCAAACAGG
RNAcentral lists this ribosomal RNA (253 nucleotides) under uncultured bacterium. Its description in RNAcentral is "partial 16S ribosomal RNA". It matches the Rfam family "Bacterial small subunit ribosomal RNA", at positions 524 to 776 of the family's 1533-position model. The record is from RNAcentral.